UAGCAAUGUCAAAUUCUCGUUCACGAUCUCACGAAAGCCGUAAAUACAUAGACAUGUUAAAGUUUUUAUGUUUUUUACUAUCUGUAUUUGAUAUUACUCAUGUUAGUCGUUCUGAACGAGUCGAAAGGAGAAGUCGUUGUUUAAAUAUUUUGCAGUAGAUCGGUGAAGAAAUAUUCAUUAAAUAACCAUUUACCAUCAUACCUUUAACAAUUGGACUUUACCAUAUCCAGUUAUUUGAAUAACCACUACAAAAAGGGGAUGUCUCAUCAAAAUUCCUUACCAUACGCUGUUACCGUUCAAUUUUAUCGAUGGAGUUGGACAUUUCAUCUCAUUGAACAAAUCUAGUGCAGAAUGGGCCAUUUCAUACACGUAAAGGUUUAAUUUGAAAACAAGGAAAUCAAUAGCAUCCUAAAGACCAAGGAUGGACGGACUUGAAUUAGACAAGGAUGUAGCUGGAUUUUAUUAAGGAAUGGAUAUGAAAACUACACUGAAAAUAAGACGAGGGAUUAACCAAAUGAUUGCCCAACAAACUUCCAUUGCCCAUUUCUACAGAUUGGUCAACAAAUCAGCUACUGAAAGAAGCAAUGUCUACAAUAGUACCUAUUGUUUUCCCUGUACUUAAUUUUCGAUUUACUGUUGGCAUCUUCACCUUACAUGCGGCUGAUUUUCGAUGGAUUAGUGUGAGCAACUGGAAGUUAUUUGGACCCCACUGAAACAGCAAAUCAUCUGCAUUGAAUCUUUCUUCCUGGUUACGGCUUUUUCUCGCACUUGCAAAUUUUGAAGAAUUACAUUCUACAGUUAUUUAAGAUUGCCCAACAAAUGCGAGAAAACUGAAAUUAAUUUUGAUGCUGCCAAUGUCGCCUACAAUGGUAUCAUAUUUGCUGAAUUUGGUUUGCUGUUGUCAUCUUCACAUUGCUUCAUCAGGCAGUUAAUUUUGGACCAAUGAAAGAAAACACCUGGAAAUUUAUUUGGAAACCACUAACAUCACGUCACUUUGGCCUUGCUCUGCACUCCCGUAAGAUUUUGGAGCUAUGCAUUCUACAGUUAAUUAAGAUCGACGGUGGAGAAGACAAAGAAGAUCCCGUAGUUAGAAUAUUUUUUGCCCUAUUAUAAUCAAGCUCUUAUUUUGCAUGUUUUUUAUUUUUAGUUUGCUUAUUUUUUUGUAGUUUAUUUUAUUUGAGUCAAUUUUAAUUU
This is a long non-coding RNA of Agrilus planipennis (emerald ash borer), 1194 nucleotides long. RefSeq lists it as uncharacterized. Lineage: Eukaryota; Metazoa; Arthropoda; Insecta; Coleoptera; Buprestidae. The transcript is spliced from 7 exons. The record is from RefSeq and is a predicted model, not a curated record.